This 698-nucleotide ribosomal RNA is filed under the name uncultured bacterium. RNAcentral's name for it is "bacterial SSU rRNA". It matches the Rfam family "Bacterial small subunit ribosomal RNA", at positions 126 to 812 of the family's 1533-position model. The record is from RNAcentral.
CUGCCCAAAAGAGGGGGAUAACACUUGGAAACAGGUGCUAAUACCGCAUAACAUAGUUACCGCAUGGUAACUAUGUAAAAGGUGGCUAUGCUACCGCUUUUGGAUGGGCCCGCGACGCAUUAGCUAGUUGGUGGGGUAAAGGCUUACCAAGGCAAUGAUGCGUAGCCGAACUGAGAGGUUGAUCGGCCACAUUGGGACUGAGACACGGCCCAAACUCCUACGGGAGGCAGCAGUAGGGAAUCUUCCACAAUGGGCGAAAGCCUGAUGGAGCAACGCCGCGUGGGUGAAGAAGGUCUUCGGAUCGUAAAACCCUGUUGUUAGAGAAGAAAGUGCGUGAGAGUAACUGUUCACGUUUCGACGGUAUCUAACCAGAAAGCCACGGCUAACUACGUGCCAGCAGCCGCGGUAAUACGUAGGUGGCAAGCGUUAUCCGGAUUUAUUGGGCGUAAAGAGAACGCAGGCGGUCUUUUAAGUCUGAUGUGAAAGCCUUCGGCUUAACCGGAGUAGUGCAUUGGAAACUGGGAGACUUGAGUGCAGAAGAGGAGAGUGGAACUCCAUGUGUAGCGGUGAAAUGCGUAGAUAUAUGGAAGAACACCAGUGGCGAAAGCGGCUCUCUGGUCUGUAACUGACGCUGAGGUUCGAAAGCGUGGGUAGCAAACAGGAUUAGAUACCCUGGUAGUCCACGCCGUAAACGAUGA